GAAGUUGUUAGAGUUGAGUAACUAAGCAUGCAUUUAACCAUAUCCAAUAAAGUUCUGUUCCGGCAUUUUGCUACACCAUUUUGUUCCAGAGUACCCGGGGCAGUAAGUUGUGAUAAAAUCCUAAGUCCAGUUAAAUGAUCUUGGAAUUGCAUAUCAAAAUAUUCUCCACCCCUAUCAGAUCGCAAGAUCUUUAACGUUUUACCUAAUUGGUUCUGAGCCAUAGCUAGGAAUUCCUGAAACAUUGAAGAUGUUUAUGAUUUCCUAUGCAUCAGGUAAAGACAUGAGUAUCUAGAGUAAUCAUCAAUGAAAGUGACGAAAUACUCAAAACCACCCUGGCUUCUACAUUCAAAGAUCAACAAAUAUCUAAAUGAAAAAGUCCAAGUGGUUCUUUGGCCCUAUCACCCUUUGCAGAGAAUAGACGCUUGGUCAGUUUUACUUCUAGACAAGAUUCACAGACAUGUAAUUUACCUAAGGUGAGUUCCCUCAAAGGCCCAUCCUUUGUAGGUCUUUGAAUUCUAUCAUAGCCAAUGUUACCCAAUCUCAAGUAACAUAAAUACGUCAUGUUAUCGUUAUCGGUCUUUUGACAUUUAUUGGUCCUAGGUUUAGCUACUUUGAAUAAAUUAUUAUAAAGCGCGAUGGGUUCGUUAGGUCGCAUAAUAUAAAGCCCUUUUUCCAAGCAUGAAAUAUAGACUUAUGAUCCAUUUAAAGAAAUAGAUAUAUUAGAACUUGUAAUAGUCAUAACAAAUCGUUCUACUUGCAACAUGGAAACUAUAGCAUCCAAAAUUUGCUAAUAAGGCUUAGGGCCUUGACUAGCAUGCCGAGAGGAAAAUAGUUGAUUUAAUUAUGUUAAUACAUGAAUUUGAUGAUUAUGUGAUUAGAAAUGCAUGUUUAGGUGAAUUAAAUAUGCAUGUGGGCUCCAUUUGACUAUUAGAGGCAUAUUUGUAAUUUUAGCCCAUUAAGGGCAUACAUGUAAUAUUUGUGUAUAUUGUGAUUGAUACCACGAGUGAGUGGUGAUAUAUUUGCGAUGCACGAACUGAGAUGAUCCUAGGGAGCAGUUUAGCUAGAAAGUCACAACAGGGUCGAAUACCCGGCUCUGGAGGAGCCUAGGGGUAUUUUGGGAACGUAAUGUGUGUUCAGGAUUUAUCGAGUAAUGGGUCAUAAUUUAUUAAUUAUUUGGACAUGUCUGGAUUAAACGAGGAUUUAUAGGAACACUUGAGGAAUUAGCGGGACGUGGAAAAUGACGAAAUUUCCCUUGGUGGCACUUGAGGGUUAAGAUUAGCUUAAGGGCAUCUUAUAAUUUUGGUAAAUGGACAUAUAUGGUUUAGGAAGCUGAGACUUUAGAAGGAUUUGGGAAAAACAUAAGUCUCUCUCUGCUUCUCUCUCUAUUUUUCACUGUUCUUUCUCUCCCCCUCACUAUGCUUGGUGGCUGAUGAAUUUUGGGGACUUUAAACUAAGGAAAGUUGAAGAAAUGGACUUGUAGUGCUUGGGGAGUAGCUCAAGGAUUGAACUCAUUCCAGAGGUGUUCAACAAGGCUCAAAUUAGAAGACUGUGCUCGGGAUUGCGGUGCUCAGAUAACACGAGACACAGGCCGGAAAUAGCAAAGGCCAGGAAGGGCGAAGACCGAGAACGGUAGGAAGCCGAGUAUGGCAAGGGGCUGGGAUCGACAUUGAGCAUGCGAAGUGCAGGUCAUUAGGGAGAGACCCUCCUAGGAUGCUUGAGUCAUCCUCUCGACGAAGACUGCGAACCCAGGGCCCGGUAAGGGCAAAGGAAAGGUCAAACAACCAUGAGUACGGAGAGCGUGGAGUGACGGGUAUAAGUUCGGCCUACCUGGCUGCCACGACCAGGGUUAUUUUGGGAAGAUGUAAUGUAUUGGUAGAUUUGUCGCCUAAGUCGACCUUAAAUGUGUUUUGAGAUGUAAAGUAUUUUCUAACAACAUUUUGGGAUCCCAUUGUAUAACUCUUUACGUUUUCAAUGAA
Humulus lupulus (European hop) is the source of this 1976-nucleotide long non-coding RNA. RefSeq lists it as uncharacterized. NCBI's taxonomy places the organism in Eukaryota, Viridiplantae, Streptophyta, Magnoliopsida, Rosales, Cannabaceae. The transcript is spliced from 4 exons. The record is from RefSeq and is a predicted model, not a curated record.